CUUGCUAACAUAAGAGGUCCAGCCUGCCCAGUGACUUAGUUCAACGGCCGCGGUAUCCUAACCGUGCGAAGGUAGCGUAAUCACUUGUUUUCUAAAUAAAGACUAGUAUGAAAGGCACCACGAGAACUAAACUGUCUCCUUUCUCUAAUCAGUGAAUCUAAUCUCCCCAUGAAAAAGCGGGGAUAACCUAAUAAGACGAGAAGACCCUAUGGAGCUUUAAACCUAUAACACCUGCUCUAAUAACACUAUAAUGUUACUUACAUGAUGAUUACAAGUUUUUGGUUGGGGUGACUACGGAGAAAAAACAACCCUCCGUGAUGAAAAUUCCUAAACAACAAGCUACAGCUUUAUGUAUCAGCAAACUGACACUAUUGACCCAAUACAUUGAUCAACGAAC
Molecule: ribosomal RNA, 397 nt
Filed under: Pristimantis sp. Rondonia ABGD cluster 279
Lineage: Eukaryota; Metazoa; Chordata; Amphibia; Anura; Strabomantidae
Also listed under: 1 other name
Description: partial large subunit ribosomal RNA
Rfam family: Bacterial large subunit ribosomal RNA
Source: RNAcentral